CGAAUGAUGCCGAUUUCACACGGUUGAUAUAAAAAUUAAAUAAGACACUAAACUGGAAAUUGGCUGUCAUAUAGAACAAGAUCAAUAAAUAAUGAUUGCUGUUAUUUUUUAAGCAAACAUAGUAAUUCUCACUCUCUAAAGCUUUAGUGAGACUUGAGUUAAUGUGGAAGAGGCUUUGCACAGACUAGGAACUCUGAAACUUCUAAUUUCUGCUUUCUCUUUCUUCCUGUGCUCAGUAAAGAAAAAGCCAUUUAAAUGGGUUGAUGAGAACACUCAUUGUGGAUAAUGUAUCCUAUUUGCAAAAUCAGAGUGAACUAGGUUAUUUCUUUCAGCCCAUGCUAGUAAUAAUGUCCAGCAGAGAAAAAAAUCUCACUGGAAAAUAGAACACACAGUGGAUGCAACUGCUAUGAAUCCCACUGACCUCAACUCGGCCAACUUUCCUCCCACUGAUGGUGGAUGCCAAGACACCAAGGUCUCUUCCUUACUUUUCACCGAGAUGCCUGUUAAACCAUUAGUACUCCUACAAGAAACGCUUCAGAAUAUUUCCAUUCCUAUUCCUGGUACCACUAUUUUCCCAACUGGUAUUGCCCUCACUUCUCUUCAUCCUGCUUGCCAGCAUCUCAACUGCCCUGUCCUCAAGUUGCACUGUCUCCAUCACUGAUGCUGUUGGUGAGUGCUCAGAUCCACUGGCUUUCUUUUAUCAUUUCUCUGUGCCCAUUUUAUCAGUUCUCUGUACCAGUUUGUGUUGUUUUGUUCCCAAUGGUUAUACCUGAGGUGUUCUUUGGAGAGCUUCCCUGUAUUGGAACUCUGUACUCUUGAUGCUUAGGAAUUUAUAUCACUCUAGGGUGGUCUAUAGCCAAUGAGUGACUAGUGCAGAAAUAUGAAAGCCCAGUCCCCUUGCCUUCAAACAAAACAAACUCUGAGAUGGGGUUUAUGCUCCAGAGCUCCUUGUGGGAUCAGGCUGAGGCUGGGACUUGCCCUGAAAGCUCAGUCUUGUUUAGUCUCUCCCCCUUCCCUUUGCUGCUUCCUUCACCCCCUUACUGGUUUCUCUUUAGAGUAGUGCCUUGGGAAAUUACUUCCCAUGGACUCUCAUCUCAAUGUCUGCUGCUAGACAGCUUGACUCAAGAGAGUCUCACUUGGGUGGCCACCUUUCCAUUCUCAAAGCUACCAUUUUAGUUCAUCACCAAUAGUGUAAGCACUUCUAAUCACCAUCUUGGCUUGUGACUCUUCCCAUUUAGCC
This 1240-nucleotide long non-coding RNA is filed under the name Felis catus (domestic cat). RNAcentral's name for it is "lncRNA (ENSFCAG00000050450.1)". The record is from RNAcentral. Lineage: Eukaryota; Metazoa; Chordata; Mammalia; Carnivora; Felidae.